This 74-nucleotide transfer RNA is filed under the name Horticoccus luteus. RNAcentral describes it as "Oleiharenicola sp. KSB-15 tRNA-Gly". It matches the Rfam family "tRNA". Rfam says of the family: Transfer RNA (tRNA) molecules are approximately 80 nucleotides in length. Their secondary structure includes four short double-helical elements and three loops (D, anti-codon, and T loops). Further hydrogen bonds mediate the characteristic L-shaped molecular structure. tRNAs have two regions of fundamental functional importance: the anti-codon, which is responsible for specific mRNA codon recognition, and the 3' end, to which the tRNAs corresponding amino acid is attached (by aminoacyl-tRNA synthetases). tRNAs cope with the degeneracy of the genetic code in two manners: having more than one tRNA (with a specific anti-codon) for a particular amino acid; and 'wobble' base-pairing, i.e. permitting non-standard base-pairing at the 3rd anti-codon position. The record is from RNAcentral. Lineage: Bacteria; Pseudomonadati; Verrucomicrobiota; Opitutia; Opitutales; Opitutaceae.
GCGGCUGUAGUUUAGGGGUAAAACCCCUGCCUUCCAAGCAGGUGUCCGGGGUUCGAUUCCCCGCAGCCGCACCA